CGUCGCUCUGUAAAUUUAACCAGUGGUGUUGAAAAAGGAGUCGGCUGUUCACUUUCUCUGGUGUAACAGUGCUCUCCCAGCAGACAGACAGGCAGAUGAAGCUCUGAUGUCGCCCUUAUCUUCAUUCCUGUCUCACAUCCCGCAGGAUGCUCGAUGCCUCGACACGUCCAGCGGGGCAUCCUGGACGUCAGGAUUGACCCUCAUGACCUGCCGUACAAACUUUACUCUGGAAGGGCAGAACGACAUCUGUGAUGUAGGAAGAUAAACAUUUAUUUUGCUGAACAUUGUUUUACCCAAGAAACUCUCUUUCCUGCAACGUUUAAAAUCUCUUCGGGUGUCAGAUAACAACACCUGAAAUAUUCUGAAUUGCACCCUGGCAACAUUUGAACCUAUAAAACAUCAUGCAUUAUGUUUCAUGUGUCUUAUUCAUUAAUUAUGAAAAGCUACUGACAGUAAAAUGUUAAUUAGACAUGAACACAUCAGCAAUAUAACAUGAUUACCGAUCUU
Molecule: long non-coding RNA, 507 nt
Organism: Micropterus dolomieu (smallmouth bass)
Lineage: Eukaryota; Metazoa; Chordata; Actinopteri; Centrarchiformes; Centrarchidae
Exons: 3
Source: RefSeq, a predicted model, not a curated record